RNAcentral lists this ribosomal RNA (675 nucleotides) under uncultured bacterium. RNAcentral describes it as "bacterial SSU rRNA". It matches the Rfam family "Bacterial small subunit ribosomal RNA", at positions 83 to 754 of the family's 1533-position model. The record is from RNAcentral.
UCCUGGUGGCGAGUGGCGAACGGGUGAGUAAUAUAUCGGAACGUGCCCAGUCGUGGGGGAUAACGCAGCGAAAGCUGUGCUAAUACCGCAUACGAUCUAUGGAUGAAAGCGGGGGAUCGCAAGACCUCGCGCGAUUGGAGCGGCCGAUAUCAGAUUAGCUAGUUGGUGGGGUAAAAGCCCACCAAGGCGACGAUCUGUAGCUGGUCUGAGAGGACGACCAGCCACACUGGAACUGAGACACGGUCCAGACUCCUACGGGAGGCAGCAGUGGGGAAUUUUGGACAAUGGGCGCAAGCCUGAUCCAGCAAUGCCGCGUGCAGGAUGAAGGCCUUCGGGUUGUAAACUGCUUUUGUACGGAACGAAAAAGUCUUCUCUAAUAAAGAGGGCUCAUGACGGUACCGUAAGAAUAAGCACCGGCUAACUACGUGCCAGCAGCCGCGGUAAUACGUAGGGUGCAAGCGUUAAUCGGAAUUACUGGGCGUAAAGCGUGCGCAGGCGGUGAUGUAAGACAGAUGUGAAAUCCCCGGGCUCAACCUGGGACCUGCAUUUGUGACUGCAUCGCUAGAGUACGGUAGAGGGGGAUGGAAUUCCGCGUGUAGCAGUGAAAUGCGUAGAUAUGCGGAGGAACACCGAUGGCGAAGGCAAUCCCCUGGACCUGUACUGACGCUCAUGCAC